CUCCUACGCCAAUCUGGAGGAUGUUUAUUGUCAAGAUACGGGGAAAUCAUUAAUGCCGAUACACUUGAGGGCCAGAGCGGCAUAUGGUACUUUUCGUGAACAAUAUAGGGGUGAUGAGAGGAAUCGGGAUAAGAUCACAAAAAAUCUCGAGUUAGUGGAGGGAUUUGAGA
Long non-coding RNA from Asparagus officinalis (garden asparagus), 170 nucleotides. RefSeq lists it as uncharacterized. The transcript has 3 exons. The record is from RefSeq and is a predicted model, not a curated record. NCBI's taxonomy places the organism in Eukaryota, Viridiplantae, Streptophyta, Magnoliopsida, Asparagales, Asparagaceae.